RNAcentral lists this ribosomal RNA (250 nucleotides) under uncultured prokaryote. RNAcentral's name for it is "partial 16S ribosomal RNA". It matches the Rfam family "Bacterial small subunit ribosomal RNA", at positions 524 to 773 of the family's 1533-position model. The record is from RNAcentral.
UACGUAGGGGGCAAGCGUUAUCCGGAUUUACUGGGUGUAAAGGGAGCGUAGACGGCCUGGCAAGUCUGAUGUGAAACCCUGGGGCUCAACCCCGGGACUGCAUUGGAAACUGUUUGGCUGGAGUGCCGGAGGGGUAAGCGGAAUUCCUAGUGUAGCGGUGAAAUGCGUAGAUAUUAGGAGGAACACCAGUGGCGAAGGCGGCUUACUGGACGGCAACUGACGUUAAGGCUCGAAGGCGUGGGGAGCAAAC